UUAAAUUGAAGAGUUUGAUCAUGGCUCAGAUUGAACGCUGGCGGCAGGCCUAACACAUGCAAGUCGAACGGUAACAGGAAGCAGCUUGCUGCUUCGCUGACGAGUGGCGGACGGGUGAGUAAUGUCUGGGAAACUGCCUGAUGGAGGGGGAUAACUACUGGAAACGGUAGCUAAUACCGCAUAAUGUCGCAAGACCAAAGAGGGGGACCUUCGGGCCUCUUGCCAUCGGAUGUGCCCAGAUGGGAUUAGCUUGUUGGUGGGGUAACGGCUCACCAAGGCGACGAUCCCUAGCUGGUCUGAGAGGAUGACCAGCCACACUGGAACUGAGACACGGUCCAGACUCCUACGGGAGGCAGCAGUGGGGAAUAUUGCACAAUGGGCGCAAGCCUGAUGCAGCCAUGC
Molecule: ribosomal RNA, 402 nt
Filed under: Escherichia coli
Lineage: Bacteria; Pseudomonadati; Pseudomonadota; Gammaproteobacteria; Enterobacterales; Enterobacteriaceae
Description: bacterial SSU rRNA
Rfam family: Bacterial small subunit ribosomal RNA
Source: RNAcentral